GCAAGCGACCAAACCCGCUCUUUGUACCCAAAAACAAGAGACCUCGACCGCAUUCACUCCGACCCACAAAGCUUUGAGGAAAUGGGGAAACCAUUGGGAACGACUGGGGAGUUCUUCAGGAGAAGGGACGAAUGGAGGAAGCAUCCAAUGGUCACCAAUCAGUUCCGCCACGCGGUUCCUGGCCUUGGGAUUGGCCUAGUCGCCUUUGGCAUCUACCUUGUUGGGGAACAAGUUUACAACAAGCUUUAUGCUCCUUCCUCUAGCCAUCACGCAUCUUCAUCUUCUCACUCUCACUGAUUUCAACAAUUUUUGUUGAUUUGUGCUUUCCAGCAUUGUGAUGGAAACAUUUCCUGAUAGGGGAAUUGGACAAAGCUUAUGCAACAGUUUAAAUAUGAUGGACAAUUGUUGGCAUGUCAAAUAUUGGAAAUCCUGCGUUAUAUUUUCCUUCCUGCUGAUUUGGAUCAAUAAUUUCUCAUGUAACUUGAGAUUUAGUCUCUUAUAAAUUUCUUUGACUUGUGUUUGAGAUGUUCAGUAGAUUUUGAGUUUGCUGCCUGGUCAUUAUGUUGACUUGAUAACCCCAUCAUGCUGCAUAAUGUUUAGAUUGGAAAAUUACUUUUACAUCUCUUAGAUAUAUCAAAAUUAAUGCAUAUGUUCUUUUAUUUUUAAAA
Manihot esculenta (cassava) is the source of this 668-nucleotide RNA transcript. It is a transcript of the gene named NADH dehydrogenase [ubiquinone] 1 beta subcomplex subunit 3-B-like, with no coding region annotated. The record is from RefSeq and is a predicted model, not a curated record. The transcript has 3 exons. Lineage: Eukaryota; Viridiplantae; Streptophyta; Magnoliopsida; Malpighiales; Euphorbiaceae.